GCCCUUGUAGUAUAGCCAGGUCCAGAAUUCGGCCCUGUCACGGCUGAGACGCGAGUUCAAAUCCCGCCAAGGGCGCCA
RNAcentral lists this transfer RNA (78 nucleotides) under Nitrososphaerota archaeon. RNAcentral's name for it is "Thaumarchaeota archaeon tRNA-Asp". It matches the Rfam family "tRNA". From Rfam's summary of the family: Transfer RNA (tRNA) molecules are approximately 80 nucleotides in length. Their secondary structure includes four short double-helical elements and three loops (D, anti-codon, and T loops). Lineage: Archaea; Thermoproteati; Nitrososphaerota. The record is from RNAcentral. RNAcentral also lists the same sequence under 3 other names.